Molecule: ribosomal RNA, 497 nt
Filed under: Escherichia coli
Lineage: Bacteria; Pseudomonadati; Pseudomonadota; Gammaproteobacteria; Enterobacterales; Enterobacteriaceae
Description: partial 23S ribosomal RNA
Rfam family: Bacterial large subunit ribosomal RNA
Source: RNAcentral
GUGCAAUGGCAUAAGCCAGCUUGACUGCGAGCGUGACGGCGCGAGCAGGUGCGAAAGCAGGUCAUAGUGAUCCGGUGGUUCUGAAUGGAAGGGCCAUCGCUCAACGGAUAAAAGGUACUCCGGGGAUAACAGGCUGAUACCGCCCAAGAGUUCAUAUCGACGGCGGUGUUUGGCACCUCGAUGUCGGCUCAUCACAUCCUGGGGCUGAAGUAGGUCCCAAGGGUAUGGCUGUUCGCCAUUUAAAGUGGUACGCGAGCUGGGUUUAGAACGUCGUGAGACAGUUCGGUCCCUAUCUGCCGUGGGCGCUGGAGAACUGAGGGGGGCUGCUCCUAGUACGAGAGGACCGGAGUGGACGCAUCACUGGUGUUCGGGUUGUCAUGCCAAUGGCACUGCCCGGUAGCUAAAUGCGGAAGAGAUAAGUGCUGAAAGCAUCUAAGCACGAAACUUGCCCCGAGAUGAGUUCUCCCUGACUCCUUGAGAGUCCUGAAGGAACGUUG